Long non-coding RNA from Amphimedon queenslandica, 220 nucleotides. RefSeq lists it as uncharacterized. Lineage: Eukaryota; Metazoa; Porifera; Demospongiae; Haplosclerida; Niphatidae. The record is from RefSeq and is a predicted model, not a curated record. The transcript has 3 exons.
AAGUAUAAUUAUUUCACUGCUGUUAGUGAUAAUGGGUUUUUAAUGAAUCCAAACAAAGUCUAUAGCAUAACAUUUACGUCUUUGACUGAUGUCACUGCUGAAGAUGCUACCAAGAACAUACAAAGUCACUGGUUGACACAUACAAUUGAUUGACUAAAAUAGAACUCACCGUCACAUUUUAGAUGCUUCCUGCUAUACGGUAACUCUAUUUGCCAUGCAU